CCAGCAGCCGCGGUAAUACGAGGGUGCAAGCGUUAUCCGAUUUAUUGGGUUUAAAGGGUCCGUAGGCGGAUCUGUAAGUCAGUGGUGAAAUCUCAUAGCUUAACUAUGAAACUGCCAUUGAUACUGCAGGUCUUGAGUAAAGUAGAAGUGGCUGGAAUAAGUAGUGUAGCGGUGAAAUGCAUAGAUAUUACUUAGAACACCAAUUGCGAAGGCAGGUCACUAUGUUUUAACUGACGCUGAUGGACGAAAGCGUGGGGAGCGAACAGGAUUAGAUACCCUGGUAGUCCACGCCGUAAACGAUGCUAACUCGUUUUUGGGUUUUCGGAUUCAGAGACUAAGCGAAAGUGAUAAGUUAGCCACCUGGGGAGUACGUUCGCAAGAAUGAAACUCAAAGGAAUUGACGGGGGCCCGCACAAGCGGUGGAUUAUGUGGUUUAAUUCGAUGAUACGCGAGGAACCUUACCAAGGCUUAAAUGGGAAUUGACAGGUUUAGAAAUAGACUUUUCUUCGGACAAUUUUCAAGGUGCUGCAUGGUUGUCGUCAGCUCGUGCCGUGAGGUGUUAGGUUAAGUCCUGCAACGAGCGCAACCCCUGUCACUAGUUGCCAUCAUUCAGUUGGGGACUCUAGUGAGACUGCCUACGCAAGUAGAGAGGAAGGUGGGGAUGACGUCAAAUCAUCACGGCCCUUACGCCUUGGGCCACACACGUAAUACAAUGGCCGGUACAGAGGGCAGCUACCUAGCGAUAGGAUGCGAAUCUCGAAAGCCGGUCUCAGUUCGGAUUGGAGUCUGCAACUCGACUCUAUGAAGCUGGAAUCGCUAGUAAUCGCGCAUCAGCCAUGGCGCGGUGAAUACGUUCCCGGGCCUUGUACACACCGCCCGUCAAGCCAUGGAAGUUUGGGGUACCUGAAGUCGGUGACCGUAACAGGAGCUGCCUAGGGUAAAACAAGUAACUAGGGCUAAGUCGUAACAAGG
This 972-nucleotide ribosomal RNA is filed under the name Chryseobacterium sp. RNAcentral describes it as "bacterial SSU rRNA". It matches the Rfam family "Bacterial small subunit ribosomal RNA", at positions 508 to 1496 of the family's 1533-position model. The record is from RNAcentral. Lineage: Bacteria; Pseudomonadati; Bacteroidota; Flavobacteriia; Flavobacteriales; Weeksellaceae.